GGUUCAGGACGAACGCUGGCGGCGUGCCUAAUACAUAGCAAGUCGAACGGUCUUUCUAUGGAAGCUUGCUUCCACUGAGAAGAUAGUGGCGAACGGGUGAGGUAACACGUGGGUAACCUGCCCAUAAGAGGGGGGAUAACAUCCGGAAACGGGUGCUAAUACCGCAUAGUUUUCUUGAUCGCAUGAUCGGGAAAGGAAAGACGGCCUUUGUGCUGUCGCUUAUGGAUGGACCCGCGGCGUAUUAGUUAGUUGGUGAGGUAACGGCUCACCAAGACGAUGAUACGUAGCCGACCUGAGAGGGUGAUCGGCCACAUUGGGACUGAGACACGGCCCAAACUCCUACGGGAGGCAGCAGUAGGGAAUCUUCCGCAAUGGACGAAAGCCUGACGGAGCAACGCCGCGUGAGUGAAGAAAGGUUUUCGGAUCGUAAAACUCUGUUGUCAGAGAAGAACAAGUUGGAGAGUAACUGCUCCAGCCUUGACGGUAUCUGACCAGAAAGCCACGGCUAACUACGUGCCAGCCGCCGC
Molecule: ribosomal RNA, 527 nt
Filed under: uncultured bacterium
Lineage: Bacteria
Description: bacterial SSU rRNA
Rfam family: Bacterial small subunit ribosomal RNA
Source: RNAcentral